GACAGAGGGUGCAAACGUUGUUCGGAAUUACUGGGUGUAAAGCGCGUGUAGGCGGCUUUGCAAGUCGGGCGUGAAAUCCCACGGCUCAACCGUGGAAGUGCACUCGAAACUGCAGAGCUAGAGUCCUGGAGAGGAAGGUGGAAUGCUUGGUGUAGAGGUGAAAUUCGUAGAUAUCAAGCGGAACACCGGUGGCGAAGGCGGCCUUCUGGACAGUGACUGACGCUGAGACGCGAAAGCGUGGGGAGCAAACAGG
Molecule: ribosomal RNA, 253 nt
Filed under: uncultured bacterium
Lineage: Bacteria
Description: partial 16S ribosomal RNA
Rfam family: Bacterial small subunit ribosomal RNA
Source: RNAcentral